Molecule: ribosomal RNA, 275 nt
Filed under: Tatria biremis
Lineage: Eukaryota; Metazoa; Platyhelminthes; Cestoda; Cyclophyllidea; Amabiliidae
Description: partial 18S ribosomal RNA
Rfam family: Eukaryotic small subunit ribosomal RNA
Source: RNAcentral
GGCGGUGUCAACGAGUCAGACCUUCUGGCCCGAAAGGGUUGGGUAAACUGGUCAAUCACCGUCAUGACAGGGAUCGGGGCUUGGAAUUGUUCCCCGUGAACGAGGAAUUCCUAGUAAGUGCAAGUCAUAAGCUUGCGCUGAUUACGUCCCUGCCCUUUGUACACACCGCCCGUCGCUACUACCGAUUGAAUGGUUUAGUAAGGUCCUUGGAUCGGCACCACUGUGAUGGUCGUCGAGAGGCGAUUAUCCGAGCGGUGCUGAGAAGACGACCGAAC